UGCCAGCCGCCGCGGUAAUACGGAGGGGGUUAGCGUUGUUCGGAAUUACUGGGCGUAAAGCGCGCGUAGGCGGAUCAGAAAGUUGGGGGUGAAAUCCCGGGGCUUAACCCCGGAACUGCCCUCAAAACUGUCGAUCUAGAGACCGGGAGAGGUAAGCGGAAUUCCUAGUGUAGAGGUGAAAUUCGUAGAUAUUAGGAAGAACACCAGUGGCGAAGGCGGCUUACUGGACCGGUACUGACGCUGAGGUACGAAAGUGUGGGGAGCAAACAGGAUUAGAUA
RNAcentral lists this ribosomal RNA (279 nucleotides) under uncultured bacterium. RNAcentral's name for it is "partial 16S ribosomal RNA". It matches the Rfam family "Bacterial small subunit ribosomal RNA", at positions 506 to 784 of the family's 1533-position model. The record is from RNAcentral.